AAAUAAUGAUUACUUUGUCUUCUCCUUCCUAAAUGUCUCUCUCUUAUAUUAUCUUAUCCUGUUAUAUUGACCAGAACUUUGAAAGUAAUGUUAAAUAAUGAUGUUGCUAAUGUUCCUAACUUAAUGGUAAAAUUUCAAAUGCUUCACCAUUAAAGUGUGAUAUGCUGGCAGUUAGUUUGUAACAUAUAUUUCUAACCAUGUGUAUUGCUGAUGCUGUUUGUGACGCCAGCUGUCUUGCUGUUCACACUGUUCGCCUUGCUCGCUGGACCAGGGUAGGGCAAGGCGCAAGAUGAGAGGCUGGAAGAAAAUGAGAGGAGCUGUAGGAACUGCAGAUGCGUUUAUUCUCUCCUCUCUGGCAUGAAAGCCGUAACACAGCCUCUCUGCUGGCUGACGCAUCAUCCAUAGCAGCGAACAGCACAGCAACAUAACCGCACACAGCCCUUCAGGGCUUUCCCAGGUGAGGCUUACGCGGCGUACUGCGCACAGCAACCCCAGACCAAGCAAGCGCCUCACGACGCGCAUGCGCAGUGCUAUAACGAUCUCAGCUGUUGCAUAGUCAUUAUUUACAAAACGUGGGGCGAGAGAGCCUGAACACGCCAGCCCGGCUAAUUUGCCCUCUCCACGCACUCCACCCCUUCAGGGUCUCUCGCCUCACAUUCUACGCCCGGCCCAUCUGCGAUUUUCCCUUGGGGAGUAACGCUGACCCUAGGAUUUACUUCUUGCAUCAGCUACAAGAACAAGCUGUUACAUCCCCAACACGUAGCAAAACCCAACUCCGGGUGUCACCUGGAACGCAUGUGGCAGUCCUCGCCCUCACGGGGCUAGAAGGGCCACCAUUCAUAGGUGGAGUGCCUUUAUCUGCCAUGGCCAAGUCCGGUCCACUGUCUGUCCUCGUGAGAGUGCAGGAAGGCCUCCGCAGAGGCAACCCCACUCCUGCGGGACUUUUAUUAAGGACCUGCAAAACACGCCACAGGUGCCGGGUCCACCAAAGAGGGGGUUUUUGUGGCCUUCACAGCCCACCCGCAUAUCCCAAA
Molecule: long non-coding RNA, 1034 nt
Filed under: Capra hircus (goat)
Lineage: Eukaryota; Metazoa; Chordata; Mammalia; Artiodactyla; Bovidae
Description: lncRNA (ENSCHIG00010001085.1)
Source: RNAcentral